CCUACGGGUGGCAGCAGUGGGGAAUAUUGCACAAUGGGGGAAACCCUGAUGCAGCGACGCCGCGUGAGCGAAGACGUAUUUCGGUAUGUAAAGCUCUAUCAGCAGGGAAGCAAAUGACGGUACCUGAGUAAGAAGCUCCGGCUAAAUACGUGCCAGCAGCCGCGGUAAUACGUCGGGAGCCAGCGUUAUCCGGAUUUACUGGGCGUAAGGGGAGCGUAGGCGGCCUGACAAGUCUGCUGUGAAAUACCGGGGCUCAACCCCGGGGCUGCAGUGGAAACUGGCAGUCUGGAGUGCCGGAGAGGCAGGCGGAAUGCGUAGUGUAGCGGUGAAAUGCGUAGAUAUUAGGAGGAACACCAGUGGCGAAGGCGGCCUGCUGGAGGGUGACUGACGCUGAUGCUCGAAAGCGUGGGUAGCAAACAGGAUUAGAUACCCUAGUAGUC
This 440-nucleotide ribosomal RNA is filed under the name uncultured bacterium. Its description in RNAcentral is "partial 16S ribosomal RNA". It matches the Rfam family "Bacterial small subunit ribosomal RNA", at positions 338 to 795 of the family's 1533-position model. The record is from RNAcentral.